GGUUAAGUCAGGCAACGAGCGAGAUCCGCACCUUUAUUUGCCACCAAGAAGUCACGACUUCGUUGGGAACACUAAAGGGACCGCCGUCGAUAAGACGGAGGAAGGAGCGGGCAAAGGCAGGUCAGUAUGCCCCGAAACCCCUGGGCUACACGCGGGCUGCAAUGGUAUGAACAAUGGGCUGUGACUCCGAAAGGAGAAACCAAUCCCGAAAUCAUAUCUCAGUUGGAAUUGUCGGCUGUAACCCGCCGACAUGAACGCGGAAUCCCUAGUAAUCGCGUGUCAUCAUCGCACGGUGAAUACGUCCCUGCUCCUUGCACAAA
Molecule: ribosomal RNA, 320 nt
Filed under: uncultured archaeon
Lineage: Archaea
Description: bacterial SSU rRNA
Rfam family: Archaeal small subunit ribosomal RNA
Source: RNAcentral